UACAGAGGGGGCAAGCGUUGUUCGGAAUUACUGGGCGUAAAGGGCGCGUAGGCGGCCUUCUAAGUCGAACGUGAAAUCCCUGGGCUCAACCCAGGAACUGCGUCCGAUACUGGAAGGCUUGAAUCCGGGAGAGGGAUGCGGAAUUCCAGGUGUAGCGGUGAAAUGCGUAGAUAUCUGAAGGAACGCCGGUGGCGAAAGCGAUCGACUGGACCUCUUCUGACGCUGAGGCGCGAAAGCCAGGGGAGCAAACGGG
Molecule: ribosomal RNA, 253 nt
Filed under: uncultured bacterium
Lineage: Bacteria
Description: partial 16S ribosomal RNA
Rfam family: Bacterial small subunit ribosomal RNA
Source: RNAcentral